UAGGUAGCGCCUCGUGAAUUCAUCUCCGGGGGUAGAGCACUGUUUCGGCUAGGGGGCCAUCCCGGCUUACCAACCCGAUGCAAACUGCGAAUACCGGAGAAUGUUAUCACGGGAGACACACGGCGGGUGCUAACGUCCGUCGUGAAGAGGGAAACAACCCAGACCGCCAGCUAAGGUCCCAAAGUCAUGGUUAAGUGGGAAACGAUGUGGGAAGGCCCAGACAGCCAGGAUGUUGGCUUAGAAGCAGCCAUCAUUUAAAGAAAGCGUAAUAGCUCACUGGUCGAGUCGGCCUGCGCGGAAGAUGUAACGGGGCUAAACCAUGCACCGAAGCUGCGGCAGCGACGCUGAUGCGUUGUUGGGUAGGGGAGCGUUCUGUAAGCCUGCGAAGGUGGCCUGUGAGGGUUGCUGGAGGUAUCAGAAGUGCGAAUGCUGACAUAAGUAACGAUAAAGCGGGUGAAAAGCCCGCUCGCCGGAAGACCAAGGGUUCCUGUCCAACGUUAAUCGGGGCAGGGUGAGUCGACCCCUAAGGCGAGGCCGAAAGGCGUAGUCGAUGGGAAACGGGUUAAUAUUCCCGUACUUGGUGUUACUGCGAAGGGGGGACGGAGAAGGCUAUGUUGGCCGGGCGACGGUUGUCCCGGUUUAAGCGUGUAGGUGUGUGUUCCAGGUAAAUCCGGUUCACUUUAACACUGAGGCGUGAUGACGAGGCACUACGGUGCUGAAGCAACAAAUGCCCUGCUUCCAGGAAAAGCCUCUAAGCAUCAGGUAACAUCAAAUCGUACCCCAAACCGACACAGGUGGUCAGGUAGAGAAUACCAAGGCGCUUGAGAGAACUCGGGUGAAGGAACUAGGCAAAAUGGUGCCGUAACUUCGGGAGAAGGCACGCUGACACGUAGGUGAAGUGAUUUACUCAUGGAGCUGAAGUCAGUCGAAGAUACCAGCUGGCUGCAACUGUUUAUUAAAAACACAGCACUGUGCAAACACGAAAGUGGACGUAUACGGUGUGACGCCUGCCCGGUGCCGGAAGGUUAAUUGAUGGGGUCAGCGCAAGCGAAGCUCCUGAUCGAAGCCCCGGUAAACGGCGGCCGUAACUAUAACGGUCCUAAGGUAGCGAAAUUCCUUGUCGGGUAAGUUCCGACCUGCACGAAUGGCGUAAUGAUGGCCAGGCUGUCUCCACCCGAGACUCAGUGAAAUUGAACUCGCUGUGAAGAUGCAGUGUACCCGCGGCAAGACGGAAAGACCCCGUGAACCUUUACUAUAGCUUGACACUGAACAUUGAGCCUUGAUGUGUAGGAUAGGUGGGAGGCUUUGAAGUGUGGACGCCAGUCUGCAUGGAGCCGGCCUUGAAAUACCACCCUUUAAUGUUUGAUGUUCUAACGUGGACCCGUGAUCCGGGUUGCGGACAGUGUCUGGUGGGUAGUUUGACUGGGGCGGUCUCCUCCUAAAGAGUAACGGAGGAGCACGAAGGUUGGCUAAUCCUGGUCGGACAUCAGGAGGUUAGUGCAAUGGCAUAAGCCAGCUUGACUGCGAGCGUGACGGCGCGAGCAGGUGCGAAAGCAGGUCAUAGUGAUCCGGUGGUUCUGAAUGGAAGGGCCAUCGCUCAACGGAUAAAAGGUACUCCGGGGAUAACAGGCUGAUACCGCCCAAGAGUUCAUAUCGACGGCGGUGUUUGGCACCUCGAUGUCGGCUCAUCACAUCCUGGGGCUGAAGUAGGUCCCAAGGGUAUGGCUGUUCGCCAUUUAAAGUGGUACGCGAGCUGGGUUUAGAACGUCGUGAGACAGUUCGGUCCCUAUCUGCCGUGGGCGCUGGAGAACUGAGGGGGGCUGCUCCUAGUACGAGAGGACCGGAGUGGACGCAUCACUGGUGUUCGGGUUGUCAUGCCAAUGGCACUGCCCGGUAGCUAAAUGCGGAAGAGAUAAGUGCUGAAAGCAUCUAAGCACGAAACUUGCCCCGAGAUGAGUUCUCCCUGAGACUUAGAGUCUCCUGAAGGAACGUUGAAGACGACGACGUUGAUAGGCCGGGUGUGUAAGCGCAGCGAUGCGUUGAGCUAACCGGUACUAAUGAACCGUGAGGCUUAACCUU
RNAcentral lists this ribosomal RNA (2079 nucleotides) under Salmonella enterica. Its description in RNAcentral is "partial 23S ribosomal RNA". It matches the Rfam family "Bacterial large subunit ribosomal RNA", at positions 871 to 2925 of the family's 2925-position model. The record is from RNAcentral. Lineage: Bacteria; Pseudomonadati; Pseudomonadota; Gammaproteobacteria; Enterobacterales; Enterobacteriaceae.